RNAcentral lists this long non-coding RNA (1253 nucleotides) under Monodelphis domestica (gray short-tailed opossum). RNAcentral describes it as "lncRNA (ENSMODG00000036980.1)". Lineage: Eukaryota; Metazoa; Chordata; Mammalia; Didelphimorphia; Didelphidae. The record is from RNAcentral.
UAUGUCACUUUGUGUCUUCUACUCACUGCUCCUGCUCUCAUCUUUUCAGGAAAAGCAAAACAAGAUUUUAUCCAUCUUCCUCAUGGCAAGCAUUCCAAUACUUGACAGGAGUCCCCACUUUAUACUCAUUUUCCUUCUUUAAAUUUACUACUCUUUCAGAUAAAUACAUCCAGUUCCUUCAAUAAAUAAGAUAUUCUCCAUAUUCUGGUUACAGUUCUCUGGAUGUCUCAGUUAUUAAUAUAUCUUCUAAUGAAUUACUAUUCAAAAUGAAUACAGUAUUUUAAAUAUGAUCUGUCCAAGCCACAAUUGAGAUGAGCACUAUCUGUCAAUAUAGCCAAGAUUUGUUGAGUUUUUUAAUUGCUAUGUCUUCAAUUGUAUUCUGAGGAAUGUUGUGAUUUUUUUCCUCUUAUCAGGACUUCUAACUUCACAAUUAGUCAUUGAAUUAUAUGUAUAUAUACACAAACAAUACAUGUACACAAACAAUAUAUACAAACACACAUAUACACAUAUAGUAUAUUAUAGUAUUAUAUAUGUUAUCUAUUUAUAACUUCAAAGCAACAAUAAAAAAGUAACAUAGUAUCUUGAAUAUCUUCAUUGCUAUUAGGAGAAGACCCUGGCCUAGAAAAAUAGAAAAGAUGGCUAGGCAACCUGAUCUUUUUUAGAGUGAACAGAGCAAAAUAGGAUUCAAGAUUCUGUGGAAGGAUUUUUUAUCUGGAAUUUCAUUGAAGGUCUUGAUGACAGUGGACCCUUUUAAACACAGCCCAAAUCUCAGUAAUAGCAAAACAAAAUAGUGCCUGUUUUAGCCCUCAAAAAUUCCCACUCCCUAAAAAGCUAUAGCUAGGUCCUAUUAAUCUUCUUUGCUCUCAUUUUGGGAUUCAGUUACUUUACUUCCUUUCACUCUGUACUCACUAGUUUCCCUGAUGUACAUUCAUUAGUUAAUAUGGAAUGAUUCCACCUUUUAUCUGGAACAGGGCUUCUUCACUUCCACUUUUAAGUCUAAAUCCUCAUAAAUACUGUAUUUUUAAUUUUUUAACUUUUUUUUCAUAUUUACAUGAUUCAUUUUCUUUCCUUCCAUCCUUGCUGGAGCCUGGUCUUGGGCCAGGCUCCAUCUCGAAUCUUUCUCUAUCAUCUCUCUGACCUGUGUGGUAUUGAAUCUGGAUCUCUGGACUGGUAAAAGCCUUUGGAAGGGUCCUUUGAUCAGAGCUUGGCUGUGGCUCAUUGAUAAUUAAUAAAGACUCAUUCCUGCCACCUCA